Rosa rugosa (rugosa rose) is the source of this 845-nucleotide long non-coding RNA. RefSeq lists it as uncharacterized. The record is from RefSeq and is a predicted model, not a curated record. Lineage: Eukaryota; Viridiplantae; Streptophyta; Magnoliopsida; Rosales; Rosaceae. The transcript has 7 exons.
UUUUCCCUACCCAUAUAGACUAUAGAGCAUAGCGCUUAGGUUCCAAGCCCUUCCAGAAGUGUUCACUUCCACCGACUAUAGUUACGCCGCUGUUUGAGAUUUCUGAUCAACACAAGACUGCACCAAUAAUUGGCCUAAGUUCAAGUUCCAAUCAGGAUUCUCUGGUUUUCGUGCAUAUAUCAAAUUGGAAGAAGUUGCAUCUAGCUGGACCUAUUGGUAAUUCAGUCUUUUACUUGGUGCACGAUGCCUGGAUAUGCUCACUGCCAGAGGAUAGCAAAUGUGUAGGAUGGAACAAAUACGAGUAAUGCUAUGGGACGAGGCAGGGUAAAUCGUAUUCCAUAAAUCGGAGCUUCCCCUUCUUAUUUAAAAGAAGAUCAGUCCUACAUCGUCGUUAUCAGGCGUUGAGGCAGAAGAUACACAAUGAAAUCCGGCACGUAUAUGCUGGAAUUCUAGCUCGGUUUUGUCAGCAGCAAUUUAGGGACCAAAGAGAACAAAGAUCUUACUGCUGAAACUCAUGUAUAAGAUCCAGAAAUCAAAACGAAAGUUGAGCAUAUAACCACCACCAUUGCUGCUGUUCAUUAUCUAACAUGCUAGGUUAACUCUUUUCUAAGGCGUCAGAUUGUUAAAAUAUCAAAUGAUCAAGAGGUUGCCUUACUCUCAGAGAUGUUUAGAUCAAAAGCGAAAAGCAAGCACUAAUGAAUUGUUUUGGCGUUAGCAUGAAUAGGAUUUUCUCCUUUUGCUUAACACCUUUUGCGCAUAUAUAUCUAGAGCAACUAGAACAACUAUUUUUUUGGCAGCUGCCAUAUAUAUUGAAAAGUGAUCAUAUUGUACUGUUUUGUCGUUUA